RNAcentral lists this ribosomal RNA (795 nucleotides) under uncultured Pelagibacteraceae bacterium. RNAcentral's name for it is "bacterial SSU rRNA". It matches the Rfam family "Bacterial small subunit ribosomal RNA", at positions 44 to 887 of the family's 1533-position model. Lineage: Bacteria; Pseudomonadati; Pseudomonadota; Alphaproteobacteria; Candidatus Pelagibacterales; Candidatus Pelagibacteraceae. The record is from RNAcentral.
ACGCCUAACACAUGCAAGUCGAACGAAGUAGCAAUACUUAGUGGCAGACGGGUGAGUAACAUGUAGGUAUCUGCCCUUUGGCCUGGAAUAACACGAGGAAACUUGUGCUAAUACCGGAUAAGUCUUUACGGAGAAAGCUUUAUGCACCAUUGGAUGAGCCUGCACUUGAUUAGUUUGUUGGUGGGGUAAUGGCCUACCAAGACUGUGAUCAAUAGCUGAUUUGAGAGGAUGAUCAGCCACAUUGGGACUGAGACACGGCCCAAACUCCUACGGGAGGCAGCAGUGGGGAAUCUUGCACAAUGGAGGAAACUCUGAUGCAGCGAUGCCGCGUGAGUGAAGAAGGCCCUUGGGUUGUAAAGCUCUUUCGUCGGGGAAGAAAAUGACUGUACCCGAAUAAGAAGGUCCGGCUAACUUCGUGCCAGCAGCCGCGGUAAUACGAAGGGACCUAGCGUAGUUCGGAAUUACUGGGCUUAAAGAGUUCGUAGGUGGUUGAAAAAGUUAGUGGUGAAAUCCCAGAGCUUAACUCUGGAACUGCCAUUAAAACUUUUCAGCUAGAGUAUGAUAGAGGAAAGCAGAAUUUCUAGUGUAGAGGUGAAAUUCGUAGAUAUUAGAAAGAAUACCAAUUGCGAAGGCAGCUUUCUGGAUCAUUACUGACACUGAGGAACGAAAGCAUGGGUAGCGAAGAGGAUUAGAUACCCUCGUAGUCCAUGCCGUAAACGAUGUGUGUUAGACGUUGGAAAUUUAUUUUCAGUGUCGCAGGGAAACCGAUAAACACACCGCCUGGGGAGUACGACC